UACAGAGGGUGCAAGCGUUAAUCGGAAUUACUGGGCGUAAAGCGUGCGUAGACGGUUAUGUAAGUCAGAUGUGAAAGCCCCGGGCUCAACCUGGGAAUUGCAUUUGAGACUGCAUAGCUAGGGUGCGGAAGAGGGAAGCGGAAUUCCUGGUGUAGCGGUGAAAUGCGCAGAUAUCAGGAGGAACACCGAAGGCGAAGGCAGUGUCCUGGCGCGUAUCUGACGCUGAGGUGCGAAAGCCAGGGGAGCGAACGGG
RNAcentral lists this ribosomal RNA (253 nucleotides) under uncultured bacterium. RNAcentral's name for it is "partial 16S ribosomal RNA". It matches the Rfam family "Bacterial small subunit ribosomal RNA", at positions 524 to 776 of the family's 1533-position model. The record is from RNAcentral.